Molecule: RNA transcript, 4381 nt
Organism: Poecile atricapillus (Black-capped chickadee)
Lineage: Eukaryota; Metazoa; Chordata; Aves; Passeriformes; Paridae
Gene: VPS50
Gene name: VPS50 subunit of EARP/GARPII complex
Exons: 22
Source: RefSeq, a predicted model, not a curated record
GCGGGCGGGCGCGGUCAGGUGGCGCCCAACAUGGCUCCGCCGUGCCCCGGCGCCUUGCGCGGCCGCUGAGCGCAGUCGGGGCGGCGGCGGGGCCAUCAUGCAGAAGAUCAAGUCGCUGAUGACCCGCCAGGGUCUAAGAAGUCCUCAGGAGAGUGUUAAUGACCUCAGUCCUAUUGAAAGCUUCCGAGUUCCUACUAAGGAGGAGCUCAGAGAACUACAUGAAGAACCAACUGAUCCUCAGGCACAACAGGAAAUAAUUAACAGCAUUGAAGAAGUUUAUUUUUCCAAUGAUUCCUUUGAUAUUGUGAAAUAUGAGUUAGAGAGGCUUCCUCCAGUACUUAGUCUUCAAGAACUGGAAGAGUACAGAGACAAACUAAAACAACAGCAAGCUGCUGUAUCUAAGAAAGUUGCAGAUUUAAUCCUUGAGAAACAGCCUGCAUAUGUUGAGGAACUUGAACGUGUUACAUCAUUGCAGAAUGGCCUUCAGUUAGCAGCGGUAAUCUGCACAGAUGGAAGAAGACACCUGAAUAUAGCAAAGGAAGGCUUCACACAAACCAGUUUGGGGCUCCUUGCAAAUCAGAGGAAACGACAGUUGCUUAUUGGACUGCUGAAGUCUCUGAGAACAAUAAAAACACUGCAAAGAACUGAUGUACGUUUGAGUGAGAUGUUGGAGGAAGAGGAUUAUCCAGGAGCUAUUCAGCUGUGCUUGGAAUGUCAGAAAGCUGCCAGCACUUUCAAACACUACAGUUGUAUAAGUGAGUUAAAUUCAAAACUGCAAGACACCCUGGAACAAAUAGAGGAACAAUUGGAUGUAGCACUUUCCAAAAUAUGCAAGAAUUUUGAUAUCAAUCAUUAUACAAAGGUUCAACAGGCUUACAGGCUGCUUGGAAAAACACAGACAGCAAUGGACCAGUUACAUAUGCACUUCACCCAAGCCAUUCACAACACCGUGUUUCAAGUAGUCCUUGGAUAUGUGGAGCUGUGUGCAGGAAACACAGACACCAAGUUUCAGAAAUUACAAUACAAAGACCUCUGUACACAUAUUACGUCAGACAGCUACAUUCCAUGCCUUGCUGAUCUCUGCAAAGCCCUCUGGGAAGUCAUGCUCAGUUACUAUCGGACGAUGCAGUGGCAUGAGAACCAUGACCAAGAUGAGGCAGAAGUUGUGUCUUCUGUUUCAGAUGGCAACAAUGUUAUUGGAACUGAAGAGAACAGUUUUGACCGCAACUAUGUAAAAAAGAAAUUGGAGCAUGGGCUUUCACGAAUAUGGCAGGAUGUUCAAUUGAAGGUGAAAACAUAUCUUCUGGGAACAGAUCUGUCUAACUUCAAAUACGAUGACUUCAUAUUUGUACUUGAUGUUAUCAGCAGGCUGAUGCAGGUUGGAGAAGAAUUUUGUGGCAGUAAGUCUGAAGUUUUGCAAGAAUCUAUCAGAAAACAAAGUGUUAACUAUUUCAAGACAUAUCACAGAACCCGUCUGGAAGAACUAAGAAUGUUUUUGGAGAAUGAGACCUGGGAACUUUGUCCUGUUAAAUCAAGCUUUAGUAUUUUGCAGCUUCAUGAAUUUAAGUUCUUGGAGCAAUCGCGUUCCCCAUCAGUGUCGCCAAGUAAACAGCCUGCCUCAGCAAUUUCAUCUACGGUAACGCUGUUUGAGCAGUACUGUAACGGAGGAAACCCCUUUGAAAUUCAGGCUGACAGCAAAGAUGAUGAGACAGAAGAUGUGUUGGCUUCCAAUGGGUAUGAAUCAGAUGAACAAGAAAAAAGUGCAUAUCAGGAGUAUGAUAGCGACAGUGAUGUUCCUGAAGAGUUGAAAAGAGAUUAUGUGGAUGAGCAGACAGGAGAUGCCCCGAUAAAAAGUGUUUCUCGAGAAACUCUGAAGAGCAGAAAGAGAUCAGAUUAUAACCUCAAUAAAGUGAAUGCACCUAUUCUAACCAACACUACACUGAAUGUAAUAAGGCUUGUUGCUUCCUUGCACUGGCAAUGUGUAAUGACCUUGUGCAGCCAGCAGAUCCUUCACUUCCCCAUCUUUUUCCAAGAGAUAAGCUGCUAGCUUAUAGUAGAAAGAUGCAUGUUUUUUAAUUAAUUGUCCCCUAAAUGCAUGGAUUUACAAUUUGUGCUAGUGAAUUUCAUCCAAUUCUUACAACAAUAAUCAUCAAGUACUCCUGUACAUUAUGUCAGUCCUUUUCUGUUUUGUUGGUGCCUCUUUAUUUUUUCUAUUUUUUAUUUUUUUUUCUAUUAUCACUCUAUUUUUGUGCCAGAGUAAUUAAUGAACAUAUUAAAGAGAUGGCUGAUUGCUGAGAACUCCACGGGUAGCUUUUUAUUUUUUUUUUUCCUUUUUAACACACACUAGCUUCAUUUAUUGUGUUUAUGUGCAAUAUUGUUAAAUUAAUAAUUUCACCAAAUCCCAGGUAGAUGAAAUGUACUGUGUCGUUUAUGUAGAAAAUAAUGUACCUUAGUCUGGUACAGUUGACUUCUGUUAGAUCCAUGAUUUAUCUUAAUUUUGCCUCCAUAUUUCUGUUUCUGUCAUUUCUAUACUUGCUUCAAAACAAUCUGAAAUUCUGGAUCCGAAAAAUUAGAUCAGUAGUUAUGAUUCAGUAGUCAUUUGGAUUUCUACUUUCCCUCUUUAAUAUGUUUUUCUUUGCUGUUUUUCAGUCAUAGUGAUGAAGAUGCAGAUUUAAGCUGCCUAAUCAAGUAACAGAAAUAAUUGCCUUCCUUUUUAGGAAGGUAGUAGUGCCCAUUGUGUCAUACUGAAUGCGUAUGACAUUGUUUCUUAACCAUUUUGAACUAUUUCAAUGUGCUGUAUGCUUUGUGUGGAGGCUAAAUUAAUAAUAAAAAAGUAGCUUAAUAUUUAUAAAUUACAUCGAGUUGCUAAUGUAUAAUUGAAGUGGGAGCCAAUACAAUUGUUUGAAUUUCAAGUGAACAGUUCAAUUUAUCAGAUUUCUCUCACAUUAAUUAAGGCAAUUAUUUCUCUUUCUAGUAUAAAGUAGCCAUUAGACUAAUUUAUAAUAUAAUUUAUAAGGUUAAAUAUAAUUUAUAAGGUUAAUUUUUCCUAUCAAGCCGUUGCAUGUUGACUUAAAAUGUAAAGGAGGAAUAAAACUGUGUUAAAUUUGUAUGGAAUAUUUUAACUAAGCACUAUAUAUCAACAAAAAUAAUUAAUCACUAUGCCAUUGUAUGUAUUGAUUCAGUGGUCUCUUAAUUAAUAUCGUUCUGACCUAAGAAAGAGUUUAGUGGGUAUUUCUUAUUGAUGGGUUUUAAUGCUUUUUUGGCCUUAUUUUUGCUUGUGUUAAGAAUGGGUUUUGAGGACGAAUUCUUAGAUUUUGUUUGCUUUAAACCCCAUUAUCUUUACAGAAAAUAAUAAUAGUGAUGACACAGCAGAAGUUGUUAGCUGAAGUGAUUGGUCACAUAACCUUGAAUCUCAUGUGACUUAAAAAAAGCUUAAAUCACACUUAAGUAUUUCAAAAUGAUUUAGCUACAACAGACUUUACACUUUUUCCUUCAAACUGGUGUUCUAGUUCUUCAUAUCUUCCUUUCACCAUUCCUUUUUCCUGGUCACCUGGGUCAGGAAUUCCCUGCAGAUGGUCUUGUCAAUGAAGACUGAUGCACAGAAGGCAUGCUGCCCUGCUUCCUUCAUGCAGGAUACUGAGCUCCACAGUCUCAUGGUCACUGUAGCCAAGGCUACCCCAACCUUCACACCUCUAAAAAGGCCUUCCUUGUUUAUUAGUAUAAGUAUUAGUAUUGGUAUAAGCAAUGCACCAUUCCUCAUUGGUAUCUUCCACCAUCUCUGUCAUGAAGUUGUCAGUGCUUUACUGUUUGUGCUUUGCUGUUUUGUUCUUCUAGCAGAUGUCAGGAUGACUGAAGUCCCCUGUGUGAACCAGGGCCUGUGACCAUGAGGCUGCUUCUAUUUGUCUGUUAAAAGACUCCAUCCACUUCCUUCUUCACAUCAGGUUGCCUGUAGCAAACACCCCUGACAGUGUCACCCUUACUAGUCUUCCCUGUUAAUCUAAGCUUCACUUAAGCUCUUGACUGACUCGUCAUCCACCACAAGACAGAGCUUGAUACACUCCAGGUGUUGCCUCACAUACACGCCAACUCCACCACUGUUCUUUCCAGGUCUGUCUUUCCUAAACAGCAUGUCAUGACAUCUUCAUGUCACACAAGCUAUCCCAACAUACCUCCGUAACUGCAAUGAGAUCAAAGCCCUGUGACUGCAUACACAUCUCCAAUUCCUCCUGUUUGUUCCCUGUGCUGCAUGCAGUGGUAUACAGGCACUUCAUAGAGCACAAUAAAAGGGCAAGAAGGAUGCAAUUUUAGAGAGAGCCCGCAGGAAGUGUGGGAUCUCUGCAAUAUCAAGAGUUUUCAUUAAGUGUGCUUCGUUUAUGACCCA